This 491-nucleotide ribosomal RNA is filed under the name uncultured bacterium. RNAcentral's name for it is "partial 16S ribosomal RNA". It matches the Rfam family "Bacterial small subunit ribosomal RNA", at positions 29 to 506 of the family's 1533-position model. The record is from RNAcentral.
AGUGAACGCUGGCGGUAGGCCUAACACAUGCAAGUCGAACGGCAGCACAGUAAGAGCUUGCUCUUACGGGUGGCGAGUGGCGGACGGGUGAGGAAUACAUCGGAAUCUACUUUUUCGUGGGGGAUAACGUAGGGAAACUUACGCUAAUACUGCAUACGACCUACGGGUGAAAGCAGGGGAUCUUCGGACCUUGCGCGAUUGAAUGAGCCGAUGUCGGAUUAGCUAGUUGGCGGGGUAAAGGCCCACCAAGGCGACGAUCCGUAGCUGGUCUGAGAGGAUGAUCAGCCACACUGGAACUGAGACACGGUCCAGACUCCUACGGGAGGCAGCAGUGGGGAAUAUUGGACAAUGGGCGCAAGCCUGAUCCAGCCAUACCGCGUGGGUGAAGAAGGCCUUCGGGUUGUAAAGCCCUUUUGUUGGGAAAGAAAAGCAGCAGGUUAAUACCCCGCUGUUCUGACGGUACCCAAAGAAUAAGCACCGGCUAACUUCGU